This is a non-coding RNA of Drosophila melanogaster (fruit fly), 22 nucleotides long. The record is from Ensembl. NCBI's taxonomy places the organism in Eukaryota, Metazoa, Arthropoda, Insecta, Diptera, Drosophilidae.
AAUCACAGGAUUAUACUGUGAG